UGAACGCUGGCGGCGUGCUUAACACAUGCAAGUCGAACGAGAACUCUCCUGCUUGCAGGAGAUAGUAAAGUGGCGCACGGGUGAGUAACGCGUGGGUAAUCUACCUUGGAAUCGGGGAUAACAAUGCGAAAGCGUUGCUAAUACCGGAUGAAGUUUUUUUCGCUUCGGCGGGGGGAACCAAAGGCGACCUCUCCACGGAAGUUGUCGUUUCAAGAUGAGCCCGCGUACCAUUAGCUGGUUGGUGGGGUAACGGCCCACCAAGGCGACGAUGGUUAGCUGGUCUGAGAGGAUGAUCAGCCACACUGGAACUGACACACGGUCCAGACUCCUACGGGAGGCAGCAGUGAGGAAUUUUGCGCAAUGGGGGAAACCCUGACGCAGCAACGCCGCGUGAGUGAUGAAGGCCUUCGGGUCGUAAAGCUCUGUCUGGUGGGAAGAACCUCGGGAUUCGGACAACGGAUUCGGACUGACGGUACCACCGAAGGAAGCACCGGCUAACUCCGUGCCAGCAGCCGCGGUAAUACGGAGGGUGCGAGCGUUAUUCGGAAUUAUUGGGCGUAAAGGACGCGUAGGCGGUUUUGUAAGUCAGAUGUGAAAGCCCGGGGCUUACCCCUGGAAGUGCAUUUGAAACUACGAGACUUGAGUAUGGGAGAGGGAAGCGGAAUUCCUGGUGUAGAGGUGAAGUUCGUAGAUAUCAGGAGGAACACCGGUGGCGAAGGCGGCUUCCUGGACCAAUACUGACGCUGAGGCGCGAAGGCGUGGGGAGCAAACAGGAUUAGAUACCCUGGUAGUCCACAGCAGUACAGCGGUGAUCACUAGUUGUAGCGGGUAACGACCCCUGCUGUCGCCGGAGAUAAAGCAAGAAAGUGAUCCGCGUGGGGACUACGGCAGCAAGGUUACAACUCAAAGGAAAUCGACGGGGGCCACGAACAAGCGAUCGAGCAUGUGGUUUAAUUCGGACGCAACGCGAAGAACCUUACCUGGGUUAGACACUGCCCAGGCAAUCCCCUUGAAAGAAGGGGACUGCCCUUCAGGCGGAGCACUAGCGAGACACGGUACUGCAUGGCAUGUCGCUCAGCUUCGUGUACGAUGAGAUGUUGAGGUUAACUCCACGCAGCGAGCGCAACCCCUAUCGUUACGCAGCCAUCAAUUAGGUUGCGGAAUCUAGACGACUACCGCCUCGGUCAACAGGGAGGAAGGUGGGGAUGACAGUCAAGUCCUCACGGCAAUUACGCCCAGGGCAUACACACGUGCUACAAUGCNCAGUACAAAGGGUAGCGAGCCCGCGAGGGUGAGCCAAUCCCAAAAAGCGGUCCGUAGUUCGGAUUGGAGU
This 1333-nucleotide ribosomal RNA is filed under the name uncultured organism. RNAcentral's name for it is "bacterial SSU rRNA". It matches the Rfam family "Bacterial small subunit ribosomal RNA", at positions 30 to 1304 of the family's 1533-position model. The record is from RNAcentral.